RNAcentral lists this ribosomal RNA (447 nucleotides) under uncultured bacterium. Its description in RNAcentral is "partial 16S ribosomal RNA". It matches the Rfam family "Bacterial small subunit ribosomal RNA", at positions 29 to 523 of the family's 1533-position model. The record is from RNAcentral.
AGCGAACGCUGGCGGCAGGCUUAACACAUGCAAGUCGAACGCCCCGCAAGGGGAGUGGCAGACGGGUGAGUAACACGUGGGAACGUACCCUUUGGUUCGGAAUAACUUGGGGAAACUCAAGCUAAUACCGGAUAAGCCCUUAUGGGGAAAGGUUUACUGCCGAAGGAUCGGCCCGCGUCUGAUUAGCUAGUUGGUGAGGUAACGGCUCACCAAGGCGACGAUCAGUAGCUGGUCUGAGAGGAUGAUCAGCCACACUGGGACUGAGACACGGCCCAGACUCCUACGGGAGGCAGCAGUGGGGAAUAUUGGACAAUGGGGGCAACCCUGAUCCAGCCAUGCCGCGUGAGUGAUGAAGGCCUUAGGGUUGUAAAGCUCUUUUACCCGGGACGAUAAUGACUGUACCGGGAGAAUAAGCCCCGGCUAACAUCGUCCCAGCAGCCGCCGUAA